This 499-nucleotide ribosomal RNA is filed under the name uncultured bacterium. RNAcentral's name for it is "partial 16S ribosomal RNA". It matches the Rfam family "Bacterial small subunit ribosomal RNA", at positions 28 to 507 of the family's 1533-position model. The record is from RNAcentral.
GAUGAACGCUGGCGGCGUGCCUAAUACAUGCAAGUCGAGCGAACAGACGAGAGUGCUUGCACUCUCUGACGUUAGCGGCGGACGGGUGAGUAUCACGUGGGUAACCUACCUAUAAGACUGGGAUAACUUCGGGAAACCGGAGCUAAUACCGGAUAAUAUUUAGCUUCGCAUGAAGCAAUAGUGAAAGACGGUUCUGCUGUCACUUAUAGAUGGACCCGCGGUGUAUUAGCUAGUUGGUGAGGUAACGGCUCACCAAGGCAACGAUACAUAGCCGACCUGAGAGGGUGAUCGGCCACACUGGGACUGAGACACGGCCCAGACUCCUACGGGAGGCAGCAGUAGGGAAUCUUCCGCAAUGGACGAAAGUCUGACGGAGCAAUGCCGCGUGAGUGAAGAAGGUUUUCGGAUCGUAAAACUCUGUUGUAAGGGAAGAACAAGUACGUUAGUAACUGAACGUACCUUGACGGUACCUUACCAGAAAGCCACGGCUAACUACGUG